GAUGAACGCUAGCGGGAGGCCUAACACAUGCAAGCCGAGCGGUAGAGUUUCUUCGGAAACUUGAGAGCGGCGCACGGGUGCGUAACACGUGUGCAACCUACCUUUAUCUGGGGGAUAGCCUUUCGAAAGGAAGAUUAAUACCCCAUAAUAUGAUGAUUGGCAUCAAUUAUUAUUGAAAACUCCGGUGGAUAGAGAUGGGCACGCGCAAGAUUAGAUAGUUGGUGAGGUAACGGCUCACCAAGUCAAUGAUCUUUAGGGGUCCUGAGAGGGAGAUCCCCCACACUGGUACUGAGACACGGACCAGACUCCUACGGGAGGCAGCAGUGAGGAAUAUUGGACAAUGGGUGAGAGCCUGAUCCAGCCAUCCCGCGUGAAGGAUGACGGUCCUAUGGAUUGUAAACUUCUUUUGUACAGGGAUAAACCUACCCUCGUGAGGGUAGCUGAAGGUACUGUACGAAUAAGCACCGGCUAACUCCGUG
Molecule: ribosomal RNA, 479 nt
Filed under: uncultured bacterium
Lineage: Bacteria
Description: partial 16S ribosomal RNA
Rfam family: Bacterial small subunit ribosomal RNA
Source: RNAcentral